Long non-coding RNA from Taeniopygia guttata (zebra finch), 3393 nucleotides. Lineage: Eukaryota; Metazoa; Chordata; Aves; Passeriformes; Estrildidae. The record is from Ensembl.
AUGGCUUUGCUAUGGCAUUUACUUAGGAGAACAUGAUGUGCUGUGCCAUAUGCCAUGGUGACAAAGUGGUCCCUCUUUCCAUGCCUGGAGACACUGUGUGUUGACAAGGUGGAAGGGUGCUCAGCAAACAAGUUUCACAGUACUGAUGCUAUUUUGCAGAGUUGGAUUUCCUCGUAACAUUGGUUGUAAGAGGAGAUUUAUAAUGCUGUAUCCCAAAGGUACCCUUUAAAGCACCAGCUAUUUUAACAGAGGGAAAUGACAUAAGCAUCUCGAGAGGUAUUAAUAGUCACUAUUCUGUUUUAAUAGUCAUUUAUUUAAAGAUCUAGGAGCUGGAAAUCCUUGUAAUCAGUCAUAUGCUCUUCCCAAAGUCUGAAUCAAAGCCAUAUUACUGACACCUGGCUGGAAGUGAUUUUGCAGAUGCUAUUCCAGCUGUAAAUAGUAUAUUUACAGCUCAAACUUGGUGAAGACAAAGACUGCAGUAAUGGCAGAGGGACCCCUUAGCAGGUAACUUGCAGGAAAACUGUUGUAAGGGUCCUGUUAAACUUUCUCCUGUUUGCAUUAUUUUUAAUGGGAGUGGUAGGUGGGAGCUGGUUUUGUGGAGAAAUAGAGAUGGGAGUAGCCAAAAAUAGCAAAACCUAAAUGGGGGAUGUGGGAAGCCAAACCAGGGCUUUGGGGCUUUGUCACUCAUGUAUAAGAUACUCAGCCUGAAAGCCAUAAUGAUAAACACAAUUCAAAGGCUAAAUGAUCCUUCAAAAUGUUGUCCUUCACACAACAUUUAAAUCUCCUACUGGAGAACAGCCUCAUGAUGUAAAUCAUCUACCAGGAACAGGGGAAAAUAAGUCCAUGAAUACACAUGAAAGUGCCAUAGCUUUGAGAAGAACUGGCACGAGCUCCUGCUCACGUGUGCAGCAGGUGACACUUGGGACACGACAGGCUCACAAGACACUCCCACCUGGCCAUACCAGUCCUGGUCCUCACCAUCAGUGCUGCCAGCAGAGGGGAAAUUUCUCAAGAAAACAACAGACAGAUAGAAAAUCACAGAUAUGAUUUUCAUCAAGAAAUCAAACACGACAGUGUAAAUGUACUCAUUUUCAGGGAGGCAGCUUAUUCAACCUGCUGCACACAUCUCCACUGUAAAUGUGACAGUAACUGUAAAUUAAAAAUAACCCAAGAAACCAAACAGUGAGGAGGAAAGAGAAUGCAAGAAAGGCUGCUUCAGGGUACCGGCUGAUGACCUAAGAGUAUUUAUAUUGUCAUAAAGUAGUUUUCUCCUUAAAAGGCAGAUAAGACCACUUUCCUCAGUAAAUAGUGGAACUAUAUUGAGUCAAGAGCUUCUCCUUGGAGCUGCUUAUUUGUUUAGUGAGAGGUGGCUUCAGAGACACCACUGAGAAUUCUUUUCCCUAAUCAAGAGGCUGGACUGUGAGAAUUCAACUGAAUUUCCUUUCACUUGCCAAACUAAGCCUUGCAGCACUAGGAAGCUCAGGUUUUUCUGGAUUUCUCCAGUUCCAGUGAUUCCAAUGCCAUCAGCUCUCUGCCAGACUUCAUGAAGGCAUUUCUGAUUUUUUUCAGAAGCAAAGCAAAGCAGAAUUGCAAAACCCACCUGAAAUCAGUGCAGCCAAAAGUAAUCACCAUCCUAGCCUUGCUCUGAGUACACAAGCCUUCAUGGGUUAACUGUUACACAUUGGUUUAUAAAAUGCACUUGUGUCAGAAAACAUUUAUGUUAGCAGCUGCACCAGCAAGGUUAGUACCAAAAUAUCCUUCCGUGCUUUGGAGUUUGGCUGUUCAUUUGUUUGUUUUGUUCUUGUUCAUUAGGGGCUUUUUUAAAUCCUCAUCCUGUUCUAAAUAUGUGGAGUGAUUAACUCCUCUCUUUCUGUUUAAUUUUGCUUCAGCCUACUGUUUUUGCUUUUUUUUUUAUUUCAGAUGGAAGGAAAACUUCUAGUUUGGGUAUAAGAGAAGGAAAACACAACUGCACAAGCACAGCCCCCAAAAGACAGAAGCAUGCCUGUUUGUAUCUUAGCAUUAUAGAAUGGCUUGGGUUGGAAGGCACCUCAAAUAUCAUCUAGUUCCAACCCCCCUGCCAUGGACAGGGCCACUACACCAGGUUGCUCAAAGCACCACCCAGCUUGGCCUUGAACGCUUCCAGGGAUGUUCCAGUGCCUCAACACCUUCACAGGGAAGAAUUUUUUCCCGAUAUAUAAUCUAUCACCUGCCUUCCCCUUGUCCUAUCACUCCAUGCCCUUAUCCAAAGCCCCUCUUCAGCUGUCUUGUAGCCCCUUUAUGUACUGGAUUCUGCGUAAGGCUAGCACAUAAUGCUUAAAGAACAAAACCAAUGAAGUCACCACAGCAUAAACUACUUUGAAAUUACCUACAGCUGAACUGACUUGCCCUAUAGAUCCCUGAUAUUGCUGGAGGGGGCAGCAGUUAUCUUGUAGCAGGUAAGAAUGGGUGGUAAUGGCAAGAAGGAAAAAUAAUUUGAUAUAGCAGCAGCCACUGAACACAGUCUGAGACUGCAGGGCUCUAUUUUCAAGGAAAAUGUAUCUUCCCUGCUAGAACAAUGUGCAAACAUUUCUUGGAUCAUCUCCCUGUAUCAAAAUCACUGAGAGAAUUAACAGUGUGGUGAAAAGGGUGAGAGCUUCUCUAGGUUAACACACAGGAUCAGAUACUCAACCAAACUCAGUCAGUGUAAAAAAUGAGAUUUCUCUAACCAUAUAAUUUGAUUUACUGUUCUGUGCAGAAAGAGGUGCUGGGUGGUAAAUCCCAGAGGCAGCACCCCGAGGCACAGUCUUGGGCUAUUAAGUCUUACUUAAGUUACUACUUGGCUUAAGUUGUUACUGGCGCGUGGUGGUCUUUUUGUAGGGGGAGAUGCCUGAGCUGGGGUGUGGCUUUUACUGUUAUAAGGAGCAAAAGUUCAUCCCUAGGGCAAGUUCUCAGUACAGAACCAGUCAAAACCGGGGAUUUUUUUAGUUCAUCAUUACACAUCCUGGACUAGGAGGGUGUUAUCUUUCUGUGUUUUCCCCUUUCAAGAACUUAGGCCAUAAAUUUUCUCUCUUCCACAUUCCUGUGACUGUUGCUUCCAUUGCUUAACCACUUUGUUCUUUACCUUGUUUGGAACUUAACUCCCAUUAUUCAUCAAGGUGGUGAGAGGAAAGCUAAUGUCUUUAUAGACAAUUUGAUGAGUGACACUACUGGUAUUAACAUUUUUGAAACGGGUCUUAAUGUCUGUACUAACUUUGGGCAGCAGGUUUGUUGCAGAGACCAGACAGCUUAGCUCCUGAAACAAACAAGUGGGUCUGCACAAACCUCAACUUCUCAACUUUGGGGAAAAAUAGUAGGUACAAGGGGGAAUAUGUGGUAGGCAGUUUGGGAAGGCUGUACCUUCUGAGUACCUCAGCC